ACACAGAAGAGUUUGAAUCAGUUGUGUCUGUGGGGGAGAACUUGAGUCAGCAGGUAACAAUCAUGAUGGAGGAGAAAAUGCAGGAGAGACACUCUGACGGUAUCAUGAACUCUUCAUCUCACCAAGAAAGCUCGAGCUCAAACAGAUCUACACUGAAGGCCACAGAACCUGGAAGCAUGUCCACGCAGUCUUUCUCUUCUCUGCUGCCAAAGGCUCUCUCUGCUGUGCUCCAUCCAGCUCCUCCACCAGGCCAAAACUCAGCUUGCCAUCCCAGCAGAAACCCAGAUAACCACUCACCAAACCUGGAACGACUACAAACAGAGCUGAGAGACCUUCGAGAUCAGUUGGAACAGAUGAAGAGCCAGCACAACAAAGAAAUUAAACUGUUAAUGAACGAGCUUGAUGAGGAGAAGAGGAUCCGCCUGACUUUGCAGAUGGAAAUUCAGCGAAUCAAGAAGCACAUGUCCAAAUAA
RNAcentral lists this long non-coding RNA (473 nucleotides) under Oryzias javanicus (javanese ricefish). RNAcentral describes it as "lncRNA (ENSOJAG00000016695.1)". The record is from RNAcentral. Lineage: Eukaryota; Metazoa; Chordata; Actinopteri; Beloniformes; Adrianichthyidae.